UUUAUGGAGAGUUUGAUCCUGGCUCAGGAUGAACGCUGGCGGCGUGCCUAAUACAUGCAAGUCGAGCGAACGGACGAGAAGCUUGCUUCUCUGAUGUUAGCGGCGGACGGGUGAGUAACACGUGGAUAACCUACCUAUAAGACUGGGAUAACUUCGGGAAACCGGAGCUAAUACCGGAUAAUAUUUUGAACCGCAUGGUUCAAAAGUGAAAGACGGUCUUGCUGUCACUUAUAGAUGGAUCCGCGCUGCAUUAGCUAGUUGGUAAGGUAACGGCUUACCAAGGCAACGAUGCAUAGCCGACCUGAGAGGGUGAUCGGCCACACUGGAACUGAGACACGGUCCAGACUCCUACGGGAGGCAGCAGUAGGGAAUCUUCCGCAAUGGGCGAAAGCCUGACGGAGCAACGCCGCGUGAGUGAUGAAGGUCUUCGGAUCGUAAAACUCUGUUAUUAGGGAAGAACAUAUGUGUAAGUAACUGUGCACAUCUUGACGGUACCUAAUCAGAAAGCCACGGCUAACUACGUGCCAGCAGCCGCGGUAAUACGUAGGUGGCAAGCGUUAUCCGGAAUUAUUGGGCGUAAAGCGCGCGUAGGCGG
RNAcentral lists this ribosomal RNA (595 nucleotides) under Staphylococcus aureus. RNAcentral describes it as "bacterial SSU rRNA". It matches the Rfam family "Bacterial small subunit ribosomal RNA", at positions 1 to 578 of the family's 1533-position model. The record is from RNAcentral. Lineage: Bacteria; Bacillati; Bacillota; Bacilli; Caryophanales; Staphylococcaceae.